This 460-nucleotide ribosomal RNA is filed under the name uncultured bacterium. RNAcentral's name for it is "partial 16S ribosomal RNA". It matches the Rfam family "Bacterial small subunit ribosomal RNA", at positions 338 to 795 of the family's 1533-position model. The record is from RNAcentral.
CCUACGGGAGGCAGCAGUGAGGAAUAUUGGACAAUGGGCGCGAGCCUGAAGCAGCCAAGUAGCGUGAAGGAUGACUGCUCUACGGGUUGUAAACUCCUUUUAUAAAGGAAUAAAGUGAGGCUCGUGUGCCUUUUUGUAUAUACUUUAUGAAUAAGGAUCGGCUAACUCCGUGCCAGCAGCCGCGGUAAUACGGAGGAUCCGAGCGUUAUCCGGAUUUAUUGGGUUUAAAGGGAGCGUAGAUGGGUUGUUAAGUCGGUUGUGAAAGUUUGCGGCGCAACCGUAAAAUUGCAAUUGAUACUGGCAGCCUUGAGUACAGUUGAGGUAGGCGGAAUUCGUGGUGUAGCGGUGAAAUGCUUAGAUAUCACGAAGAACUCCGAUUGCGAAGGCAGCUUACUAAACUGCCACUGACAUUGAUGCUCGAAAGUGUGGGUAUCAAACAGGAUUAGAUACCCCUGUAGUC